This 492-nucleotide ribosomal RNA is filed under the name uncultured bacterium. Its description in RNAcentral is "partial 16S ribosomal RNA". It matches the Rfam family "Bacterial small subunit ribosomal RNA", at positions 29 to 507 of the family's 1533-position model. The record is from RNAcentral.
AGUGAACGCUGGCGGUAGGCCUAACACAUGCAAGUCGAACGGCAGCACAGUAAGAGCUUGCUCUUACGGGUGGCGAGUGGCGGACGGGUGAGGAAUACAUCGGAAUCUACUUUUUCGUGGGGGAUAACGUAGGGAAACUUACGCUAAUACCGCAUACGACCUACGGGUGAAAGCAGGGGAUCUUCGGACCUUGCGCGAUUGAAUGAGCCGAUGCCGGAUUAGCUAGUUGGCGGGGUAAAGGCCCACCAAGGCGACGAUCCGUAGCUGGUGUGAGAGGAUGGUCGCCCACACGGGAACGUGGCCACCGUCCAUGCUCCUGCGGGAGGCAGCAGUGUGGAAUAUUGGGCAAUAGGCGGAAGCCUUGUCCAACCAUACCGCGUGUGAGAAAGAGGCCUUCGGUGUGUAAAGCCCUUUUGUUGGGAAAGAAAAGCAGCAGGUUAAUACCCCGCUGUUCUGACGGUACCCAAAGAAUAAGCACCGGCUAACUUCGUG